UAAAGGCUUGGUCCUGACUUUACUGUCAGCUCUGGCUAAACUUACACAUGCAAGUAUCCGCACCCCUGUGAGAAUGCCCUCCAGUCUCCCGCCCGGAAAAAAGGAGCCGGUAUCAGGCACGGUAAACACCUGCCCAUGACACCUUGCUUAGCCACACCCUCAAGGGACAUCAGCAGUGAUAGAUAUUAAGCCAUAAGUGAAAACUUGACUUAGUUAAGGCCUAGAGGGCCGGUAAAACUCGUGCCAGCCACCGCGGUUAUACGAGAGGCUCAAGUUGACAGACAACGGCGUAAAGAGUGGUUAGGGAAAUUUUAAACUAAAGCCAAACGUCCUCAAAGCUGUUUAACGCUCCCGAGUUAAGAAGAUCCAUUACGAAAGUAGCUUUACCCAUCCUGACCCCACGAAAGCUGUGACACAAACUGGGAUUAGAUACCCCACUAUGCUCAGCCAUAAAAUUUGAUAGGCCCCUACGCCCCCUAUCCGCCCGGGUACUACGAGCAUCAGCUUAAAACCCAAAGGACUUGGCGGUGCUUCACAUCCGUCUAGAGGAGCCUGUUCUAGAACCGAUAACCCCCGUUGAACCUCACCCUCCCUUGUUAAUACCGCCUAUAUACCGCCGUCGUCAGCCUACCCUGUGAAGGACUAGAAGUGAGCAAGAUUGGUAAGACCCAAAACGUCAGGUCGAGGUGUAGUGUAUGAGAGGGGAAGAAAUGGGCUACAUUUCCUAAAUCAGGAAACACGAACAAUGAACUGAAACAAGCAUUUGAAGGUGGAUUUAGCAGUAAGCAAGAAAACAGAGUGUUCUGCUGAAACAUGGCAAUAAAGCACGCACAUAUCGCCCGU
RNAcentral lists this non-coding RNA (843 nucleotides) under Amphiprion ocellaris (clown anemonefish). RNAcentral describes it as "partial small subunit ribosomal RNA". It matches the Rfam family "Bacterial small subunit ribosomal RNA". The record is from RNAcentral. Lineage: Eukaryota; Metazoa; Chordata; Actinopteri; Pomacentridae.